RNAcentral lists this long non-coding RNA (2271 nucleotides) under Oryza sativa aromatic subgroup. RNAcentral describes it as "lncRNA OsARC_09g0008050". Lineage: Eukaryota; Viridiplantae; Streptophyta; Magnoliopsida; Poales; Poaceae. RNAcentral also lists the same sequence under 1 other name. The record is from RNAcentral.
AUGAUCACACAGUUGAGUACUGCCGAGACCCCGUUGUCUGUGCAGCUUGCCGUGGCAUGGGGCACCGCCAGUCCGAUUGCCAUGCCUCACUCUCGCCGGGGCAAAUCCCCACGAAUUCCCGUACCACCCAUCCCCUCCAACCAACAACUCGCCCACCCAUCUUCCAAAGCCGCUGGAUCAAAAAAUCCUGCGCCACCACCGCUCCGCCUGCAACACCACUUCCAAAAAAAACCCUAUCCUAGCUCGCUUCACUCAGUCAAGAUGGAGAGUGCGACUGCUCAAGUGCUCAGUGGAGAAGAUGCUGUUCCGGCUGCAACUUUUGCUGCUGACAUGCUGGCUGGGGACCAGACUCCUGCUAGCGAGGGGCAAGAUGGAGGUCUGAACUACUGGGAUAAUGAGGUAUCUUUUGAUCUGGAACAACUGUUUGCCUCUGCUCCUUUGCCCCACCCAUGUCUGGCUAUUCUGGCGGCUCACCGCACCGCGGUUGCUGGUCCGUCUAGACUGAAGGGGAAAUCCCCCCUGUCGAUUGUUGGUGCUGCUCUGCCAGUCAUUAGUGAACUAGAUGAGGUGAAGGACAUCUUUGUGUGUGAGUCGGGUACUGCAAGCCGACCUGCUCGUGUCCCUGUUGUCUCUUUCAACAGUAGGUCCCCCCCUCCACCUGCAUCGAGGAGGGCUCGCUUACCUCACCUGGGGUCGGGUGGGUCUCGUCCAGCUGGGACACCGAGCAGCUCUUCCUCAAUAGAGGUUGAGUCAGAUGAUAUUUCCUCAGCCGACAGCCCGCAGACAGGCCAGCUCAACCAGUUUCUUUCUCAGCUCAAUCCAGCUUUUGCAGAACUGCUUCGCAUGUACCCUCUCCACUAUGACGUGUUUGCUCCCUAUGCUGACAUGCGGAUUACUGCUCACUAUGCAUCUGCGUUCCUGUACCCUGCGGCUUCAGAACCGUCGCGUGUGAUCUGGGAAGCAAUGAGAGAGUACCUCCCUCACAUUCACUUCUCCUUGAACCCUGCUAGGAGGGGAGCUAUGUUUGUCAGAUUUAGUACUCCUAAGGAUCGGGAUGCUGCGGUGGAUUUCCCUGGGACCAUGAUGGCAGAAGGGCACAUCCUUGUCCUGGAGAAGCCUGAGGACAAUGAAACCCGCUUUCACCAACUGCUUGACAAGUUAACUGAGUUGGAAGUUCUGGAUUGGCCCCCUGAACACCGCAUUCCAGGCCGUAUCAAAAACCUGUUCAUUGGGGUUGCUUUUGUGAUUGAAAUCGAUGAUGAAUGUGUAUAUGGGGACGACAUGUCGUUCCUCUGUCUGGUUGUCCAACAAUACCCGGGCCAGCCGGUCCUUCCAGCUAUGUUUGUGUGGCUUCGAAAUGGUGAUAUUGCUGUGGCAAAAAUCAAGAUCAUCAGGACAUGGGACGCGAGUCAGAACUUCGAUGACAAUGGCACAUACACACACCACUUCCCAGUCCUUGUUGUCCCUAACCCGGGAUGCCAUUUCUCUCAAGCCCCACUACCGCCGCCUCCAAUCAAUCCUGGUCAGCCCCAGAAUCAGAAUCAGAAUGCGGGAGGGGGGACACAGAACAAUCUCCAAUAUGACUUUGUUGUUCCGCUUACAGCUCCUCCUCCUCAGUUUGAAGAGAACCUGCAUAGUUCAGUUCAUAUCACAGAGUUGGUGGAUGAUCCAGUGAUCGGGCACUUGAAAGACUUAUCACUGCCGACUCUGACUGAACAUCUCCCUCAUGAAGACACUGAACCAGAUCAGACCUACUCAGUCAGGAAAGCCAAAGGCGACAAGAAGCGAGCCAAUGAGGAGAUUGAAGCAGCUCGCUUUCAGACUGUUGCUGGGAAGGCUGCCAGACUGAAGUUGAAGGAACAACUCUCCAAGUGCUCUGUCAAGCUGAACCAGGUGGUGGCUAAGCAUAAGCUACUUGAUUGGGACUCUGCAACCACCCCUGAAGCGCUCAAAGAUCUGGCUGUCACUUGUGGCCUAGAUGACCAUGAUGUUGCUCAGCUCAACAAGGCCUCUGUCGCCGGCGGAACUUACUCUCAGGCAGCUUGUUCAGAGAAGUUCACCUCUUUACAGCUUCAAAAAGCAGCGUACUGGAAGCAACGUGGGAAGAUCAGAAGGAUUAAGCUAGGGAUUGAUAACACUAAUUUCUUCAAAGCCCAUGCGUCCAACAAUCAUCGCAAAACUUAUGUACGCUUGAUUAAAGUUCAGGGUGUCGAAUUCUCUAAUCAUGCUGCUAAGGCGUCGAUCAUGCAUGAUUAUUACAGUGCAAUUCUA